GAUGAACGCUAGCGGGAGGCCUAACACAUGCAAGCCGAGCGGUAGAGAUUCUUCGGAAUCUUGAGAGCGGCGUACGGGUGCGGAACACGUGUGCAACCUACCUUUAUCUGGAGGAUAGCCUUUCGAAAGGAAGAUUAAUACUCCAUAAUAUAUUGAUUGGCAUCAAUUGAUAUUGAAAGCUCCGGCGGAUAGAGAUGGGCACGCGCAAGAUUAGUUAGUUGGUGAGGUGACGGCUCACCAAGACGAUGAUCUUUAGGGGCCUGAGAGGGUGAUCCCCCACACUGGUACUGAGACACAGACCAGACUCCUACGGGAGGCAGCAGUGAGGAAUAUUGGUCAAUGGGUGCAAGCCUGAACCAGCCAUCCCGCGUGAAGGACGACUGCCCUAUGGGUUGUAAACUUCUUUUGUAUAGGGAUAAACCUACCCUCGUGAGGGUAGCUGAAGGUACUAUACGAAUAAGCACCGGCUAACUCCGUGCCAGCAG
Molecule: ribosomal RNA, 485 nt
Filed under: uncultured bacterium
Lineage: Bacteria
Description: bacterial SSU rRNA
Rfam family: Bacterial small subunit ribosomal RNA
Source: RNAcentral